ACGGGUGAGUAACGCGUAGGAAUCUACCUAGUAGUGGGGGACAACGUCUCGAAAGGGACGCUAAUACCGCAUACGCCCUACGGGGGAAAGGGGGGGAUCUUCGGACCUCUCGCUAUUAGAUGAGCCUGCGUCGGAUUAGCUAGUUGGUGGGGUAAAGGCCUACCAAGGCGACGAUCCGUAGCUGGACUGAGAGGAUGAUCAGCCACACCGGAACUGAGACACGGUCCGGACUCCUACGGGAGGCAGCAGUGGGGAAUAUUGGACAAUGGGGGCAACCCUGAUCCAGCCAUGCCGCGUGUGUGAAGAAGGCCUUCGGGUUGUAAAGCACUUUAGGGGGGGAGGAAGGUCCCAAAGCGAAUACCUUUGGGAAUUGACGUUACCCCCAGAAUAAGCACCGGCUAACUCCGUGCCAGCAGCCGCGGUAAUACGGAGGGUGCAAGCGUUAAUCGGAAUUACUGGGCGUAAAGCGCGCGUAGGCGGUUAGGUAAGUCGAUUGUGAAAUCCCCGGGCUCAACCUGGGAAUUGCAGUCGAGACUGUCUGACUAGAGUGUAGGAGAGGGUGGUGGAAUUCCCGGUGUAGCGGUGAAAUGCGU
This 593-nucleotide ribosomal RNA is filed under the name uncultured Gammaproteobacteria bacterium. RNAcentral describes it as "bacterial SSU rRNA". It matches the Rfam family "Bacterial small subunit ribosomal RNA", at positions 102 to 691 of the family's 1533-position model. Lineage: Bacteria; Pseudomonadati; Pseudomonadota; Gammaproteobacteria. The record is from RNAcentral.